Molecule: unclassified non-coding RNA, 697 nt
Filed under: Hevea brasiliensis (rubber tree)
Lineage: Eukaryota; Viridiplantae; Streptophyta; Magnoliopsida; Malpighiales; Euphorbiaceae
Source: RNAcentral
ACAAGGGAUGGGAAAUCUGAAAUAGUGGCCCAAAGCAGCCAUUGGAAGAAUUGGCCAUAACAGCCAUUACACCAAUAAAAAAAUACAGCUGGAACAGAAAUUUUUUUGUUGGUACCCAUUCUUCUUCCAGCUCUCUUCAAACUCACUUUCAACUGCUUAAGAGCAACUUGUUCUGUUCAACAAUUGCAACCCUUAAAUCAAUUUUAACUCAAUUUAUCGCUAUAUUUGAGCUGGAUUUGGACAUCAAUCAACUUCCACCAGCUAUUUCAAGUAAGUCAUAAAAUUAUUCUUUUACACUAUGUUUGAAAGCUUCUGUCGGAUAGGAAAGGAAAGGAUAAUGUUUUAAUCCAUGAGAUGAGAAAAGAAAUGAAACGAAAGGUUAAGUAAUUUCUCGUUUUUGGAAAUUCAAGAAAUAGGAAAGGACUCUAAGCACUAAGGGAUUUAAUGUUAAGGGACAGAUAACUCUUAUUCCCUUAAUUUUGAUGGAAAAUAAAGUGGAGUUUGAACGGAUAACUAAUCCAUUCUUAUCCAUUCUUUUGCAACAUCACCAAACUCCCAAACAGGAGAUAUAUCUCAUCCCUUGACCUUUUCCUCCCUUCUUAGCCCUCCAUCCAAGCAAAGUGUUAGGCUUUGAUAACGUUGAUUUAUUGCAUUUCAGUUAAACUAAUUUCAGUCAUUCAUAAUAAUAAUAAUAAUA